This 466-nucleotide ribosomal RNA is filed under the name uncultured bacterium. Its description in RNAcentral is "partial 16S ribosomal RNA". It matches the Rfam family "Bacterial small subunit ribosomal RNA", at positions 339 to 795 of the family's 1533-position model. The record is from RNAcentral.
CUACGGGACGCUCCAGUCGAGAAUAGUCUACAAUGGGGGAAACCCUGAUAGUGCGACGCCGCGUGAACGAAGAAGCUUUUCGGAGUGUAAAGUUCUUUUCUGUAUGAGCAAUGCUUUAUUGUUUAAGAGAUAAUAGAGAGAGAUAUUAGUACAGGAAUAAGCCACGGCUAACUCCGUGCCAGCAGCCGCGGUAAUACGGGGGUGGCAAGCGUUGUCCGGAUUUACUAGGCGUAAAGGGCAGGUAGGCGGAGAUUCAAGUCAGGCGUUAAAGGCAUCAGCUCAACUGGUGUACGGCGUUUGAAACUGGAUAUCUAGAGUCAGGUAGAGGUAGAUGGAAUUCCUAGUGUAGCGGUGGAAUGCGCAGAGAUUAGGAAGAACACCAAAGGCGAAGGCAAUCUACUGGGCCAUGACUGACGCUAAACUGCGAAGGUGUGGGUAUCAAACAGGAUUAGAUACCCGCGUAGUC